Transfer RNA from Anaplasma marginale str. Florida, 73 nucleotides. It matches the Rfam family "tRNA". Rfam says of the family: Transfer RNA (tRNA) molecules are approximately 80 nucleotides in length. Their secondary structure includes four short double-helical elements and three loops (D, anti-codon, and T loops). The record is from Rfam. NCBI's taxonomy places the organism in Bacteria, Pseudomonadati, Pseudomonadota, Alphaproteobacteria, Rickettsiales, Anaplasmataceae.
GGGGCUGUAGCUCAGGGGUUAGAGCAGCUCGCUCAUAACGAGUUGGCCGCAGGUUCAAAUCCUGCCAGCCCCA